GCCCAGACUCCUACGGGAGGCAGCAGUGGGGGAUAUUGCACAAUGGGGGAAACCCUGAUGCAGCGACGCCGCGUGGGCGAAGAAGUAUUUCGGUAUGUAAAGCCCUAUCAGCAGGGAAGAAGAAAUGACGGUACCUGAGUAAGAAGCACCGGCUAAAUACGUGCCAGCAGCCGCGGUAAUACGUAGGGGGCAAGCGUUAUCCGGAUUUACUGGGUGUAAAGGGAGCGUAGACGGCAGUGCAAGUCUGGAGUGAAAGGCGGGGGCUCAACCCCCGGACUGCUCUGGAAACUGUACGGCCGGAGUGCAGGAGAGGUAAGUGGAAUUCCUAGUGUAGCGGUGAAAUGCGUAGAUAUUAGGAGGAACACCAGUGGCGAAGGCGGCUUACUGGACUGUAACUGACGUUGAGGCUCGAAAGCGUGGGGAGCAAACAGGAUUAGAUACCCCAGUA
RNAcentral lists this ribosomal RNA (448 nucleotides) under uncultured bacterium. RNAcentral describes it as "bacterial SSU rRNA". It matches the Rfam family "Bacterial small subunit ribosomal RNA", at positions 329 to 792 of the family's 1533-position model. The record is from RNAcentral.